GGCAGAGGAGAAAAAAGGAAGGAGGAAGUAACUUGUGGAAUGCUGAGAAAGAAGCCAUUUAGAUUUUACAGAAAUGUAGCUCCUCAUACAUUAUAUUGUUCCUAUGAAGAAUUAGAUUGAAUAAAGCUGCUUUGAAUAAAGCUCGUAUUACCAGCUACCACAUGUGAUGGAAAGAAUCCAAGUUAAACACUCUCACCAGAGCAUGCUCCAAGACAGAUGACUGAGCCCCAGGCUUGGCCAAUACAAUGCACUUCUAUUCUCUAUUUAUUUUUGUAGUUCAAAGACCUGGCAGUAACCCACUUGAUGCCUGCCAUAAGGACCAGUACACUCCUGAUUACUGCCCAGCGAUUUUAUAUCUGUAUGCCAGCUACUCAGACCACGUAUAAAGACUAGGGGGAUUUUUUGAAAGGAAAAGAAACCCCGGCUUCCACUUAUACUUUGAAAUUUCAGAUGAUGUACUGCCAACUUACAGACCUUGCUUUAAUCAGCAGCCACAUGAAAAGGCUGUUUCUAUUUACUCUAGGUCAUUUAGGAAACAAGCAAUAAGUAGGCCUUGCAAAAUUUCAGCUUCUCUUAAAGUUGGCAUGUUUUCCUCAAA
Molecule: long non-coding RNA, 598 nt
Filed under: Homo sapiens (human)
Lineage: Eukaryota; Metazoa; Chordata; Mammalia; Primates; Hominidae
Description: HSALNT0321952
Source: RNAcentral